This is a long non-coding RNA of Daphnia pulicaria, 2676 nucleotides long. RefSeq lists it as uncharacterized. The record is from RefSeq and is a predicted model, not a curated record. The transcript has 11 exons. Lineage: Eukaryota; Metazoa; Arthropoda; Branchiopoda; Diplostraca; Daphniidae.
ACCGUACUCGACGAAGUGAGUGACAACCACGUUUGAAUUCAUUUGAACAUUUGCGAUGAUACAAGCAAGUGCUAUUGCAUGGCUAUUGCAAGUAAAGUUAAAAUCGCUUUUGAGUUUAGUUUAUGUUACACUCUGUUAUUUUGUAAAAUUUACUUAGGAGUGUUCAAGUUUUCUGUGGUUAUUUAAAGUAUGCUUGACUUCUAUGUGAUUCACAUAGUUUCCUAUUAUGUCAACGCCAUGCUUGAUGCUUCCUAUUGUCUAUUGAACGUGAUAAUUCAGCUUUUGUAACUUCAUGAAACAACCUCUGGAGAUUUUCUCAGGUAGUGCAUCUACCUGUCUCAUGCUGUGAUAGGAAAAUUUAGAGGGCUUCCGAUGUGUGGCGGAGUCGAUCGUUUUUCGUAUCUCUAGUCAGCGACGUGUCCCACAGGAUGUCUAUUUUGUUGGUGGGAUGUUGGAUGACAGGUGCUUGCAGCUUGAUUUUCUGGAUUUCAUUCUGUGGAGGCUUAUGUGACCGGGUGGUGGCUAUCGUAUGUCAUUCAGGUGAUGGUGUGCAGCUCUCGAUUCUACAAUGUAGAAGUUUUUGAGGUAAUUACAAGUCUUGUGUCAAUAAAUUACUAUUCCGAUCGCCACGCCUCCUCCUCAAUCGAUGGGGAGGAAGGUGCCUAAAUUUCGAACGGGGAAAUUAUGGUCACGUAGGAAGCAACUGAGAUUGCAUUGAUCUUCAGUUUUACUGUAGGCCUACCUUAUGAUGCCGUGCCGUCGGAGUAUUAGUAAGGGGCAGGUUGCGAUGUGGUGCGUUCUGCAGCUGACGGCUUUGUUAAAGGUGGAUAUUCUCAGGUAAUAUGUACAGGUUUUGCUGGUUGUUGCGUUUGUUUCGUCUUGUUGCCGAACGUGGAUUUUUAUGUUAAAUUUGUAAAGGAUUGCCAGUUUUGGGAAUAGUGUGAUGAAAGAUUAGUAUUAGAGCAUUGGGUUCUGAAUUUCACAAUAAUUGUUAUUUCUGAUUAAUUGUCUUGAUCUUGCAUGGACGAACUGAGGAAGUAUUAAGUACAAAACUGGAGAAUGUUUUUUUUUGUGUGUAAGUUUUACGUAUACUGUAAAGUUGUUCAAUUUAGACUGGGGAAUUAUGUAAAUAGUAUCAACACUAAGUUCUCGUCUUGUAUCUCAUAGAAUUCCCUAUUGGUCUUAACCAGUGAAUAUUUGUCAUCUAGAUGGUUACCCUAGAAUUGUGAGAUGAGACUGGAGGAUUAUAGGAGAUGUACAACAAAGGCACAAAGGCGAUGAAAUGGUAUCAUCUUUCUAGUUUCAACUGACUAUUGUGAUGAUUAACAGACCUGUUCUGAUCGCUUUGAAGACUAAUUGUGUUACUUCUGAAUUUGUUAUAAUCAAUCAUGGAACAUCUAUUAUACAGUCUGUUAGCUUAGCUAUCUGAUUUCACAGUUCAGGUAACUAAGUAAACUACUUCAACUGAACUUAUUUCCGCAGUGAUGAUCGUUUUUUCUGAUUCGCACAAUGUUGCUUUCUGAAGUCAAUCAAAAUAUUAGACAUGCAUGACUCUGAGAAAAGCUAUUUGUUUUGUAUUGAAUUAAAUCUUGAUUCCUGUUAAUCCAUGCACUUUGAAAAAUUUAUACAGGUUUUAAUAAGAUGAGGAUCUUUUGGGGUUUCCCGUGAGAUUUCUGUAUUAUGUGAAGGUAUGUUAUAUGCGCAUUCUAGCAGUGUGUGCUAAUUUAAAAUGAUGACAUAAGAUUUCUGUGUCCAGGCCAAUGAUCAUUUGUGAUAUAAACUAUUUUGGUGACUACUGAUUUUUGGUUUAUUGAAAACCUAGUAGCUAUCUUCUGCAAAAUAUUUACUGUUUCUAUUUGGGUGUUAGGUUGUUUUUGGACAACAGCCUGCUGGAUUUUAGUAUUGCCAUUUACCUACGGUAUUGCUGCUGCAAAUAUUCUGGCGGCCGCGCAUCUGAAGGACUGAACUGUUACUGUACAAUAGCAAGCGAUAUUGUACAGCGUCUUCCUUUUGCAGGCGAGAAAGACGGCUAGACUAUGACGGCCCGUCAUAGUAAUUCAAGUAUUGGUCUUCUGGAAUUCCCUCAUCCUUAAUAUUCGUCCUUGGCUUAGCUGCCGUGUAAUAGUGGGAAGUUAACGUAUAGGUAAUCAAAACUUUGUGCGUUUGGAGGUUAACAUGAUGGAUUGUAAAUUUCUGACAUCUCUUCUGAGUUUAUCCGUUUAUCAUUGAAGAUAUCUUUACAGCUAAAUAUCUGAAUAAACUAAUGUAGUUUUAAAGUGAGGCUUUAGAUAAUGGUUCAAAAAUGCGUUUAGUUUCAGGGCAAUACUUCGCAGCUUCAUCUGGCACUACCUUACAGCUCGAUAUGCAUUCAGGUUGGUUGAAGUUUGUUGGCAUAACCCACUAAUUAAGCCGAUUGAUUAAGUCCUUAACUGGCAAUUCUUUGGUAUACGGUGGAACAGUAAAUGCUAUUCCGUGUAAGGUGUUCCACCCAUUGCUUGGUGUGAUAUCUAAGGGUUGAAUCAGCAAUAUUUUAAUUAUUAAUUUGAUGGAUGUUUUAUUUGUAGUUUUACCUAAUCCAAUAGUGUCUUAAUGUGUUCUGAGGGUGUGAUUCGUUGGUGGGGCGUUUUUUGAGCUGGUUGCUAAUAUUUUCAUUGAUCUCUUGAAAUAAAAUUGAAA